UGGGGAAUAUUGCACAAUGGGGGAAACCCUGAUGCAGCGACGCCGCGUGAACGAAGAAGGUAUUCGUAUCGUAAAGUUCUGUCCUAUGGGAAGAUAAUGACAGUACCAUAGAAGAAAGCUCCGGCUAAAUACGUGCCAGCAGCCGCGGUAAUACGUAUGGAGCGAGCGUUGUCCGGUAUUAUUGGGCGUAAAGGGUACGCAGGCGGUUUAAUAAGUCGAAUGUUAAAGAUCGGGGCUCAACCCCGUAAAGCAUUGGAAACUGAUAAACUUGAGUAGUGGGGAGGAAAGUGGAGUUCCUAGGGUAGUAGUAAAAUACGUAAAUAUUAGGAGGAAUACCGGUGGCGAAGGCGACUUUCUGGCCAUAUACUGACGAUGAGGUACGAAAGCGUGGGUAGCAAACAGG
This 403-nucleotide ribosomal RNA is filed under the name Bacteroidota bacterium. RNAcentral's name for it is "Bacteroidetes bacterium partial 16S ribosomal RNA". It matches the Rfam family "Bacterial small subunit ribosomal RNA", at positions 355 to 776 of the family's 1533-position model. The record is from RNAcentral. Lineage: Bacteria; Pseudomonadati; Bacteroidota.